This 1621-nucleotide long non-coding RNA is filed under the name Struthio camelus australis. RNAcentral describes it as "lncRNA (ENSSCUG00000001455.1)". Lineage: Eukaryota; Metazoa; Chordata; Aves; Struthioniformes; Struthionidae. The record is from RNAcentral.
UGCAUAUUUACAAUGAUAUUGUCUGUUUUCAAGGCAGUAAAUAUUGUGUUUUCUUUUUCUUUCUUUUUUUUUUCACCUAACUUGGUUUCAGUUAAGGUUGAUUUUGAGGGAGCUGGUUUAACAUCAAAGCUUUCCUCACCUAAAGACAUGCUCUGCCUCUCUACCUCUCUACCAGGGUACAGAGACAUGCUAACUUAAGGACACAGAGAUCUUCAAGGGCAACAGAGAAGCACCACCCACCUGGGACCUGGCUUUGCAACACGUCUCUCAGAGAUGCUGAUGGUUAGGAGCUCCCACAUGCCAGGCGAGGCAGCGGGGAGCGAUCAGGAAGCGCGUGCUUUCUCCUGGACCUGGAGCCGAGAUCCUCUGCAGGAGCAUCAACCCCGAUCGCAGAGAUCCCCAUGGUGGGCUGCAGCCGCUGAGAGCCACAGGCUGCUCGGUUUGGAGCAAAACCAUGAAAAAUUGAAACUACGUGAAAACCGAAGAGGCGUCCCUCCUAGGAAGGGUGGGAAGGCCCUGAGCUUGCAGACGUUUAUGCACAGACGCAGCUUCGCGCGUGCGAGCGGUCCCCGCACGCCCUCGGACGUCGGCAGGCUCCAGACCCGCGGUCAUGAUUCGUGAGCAGGAGUGAGGAAAGCGGCGGUGCGAAGAGGAGCUACUCCUGGGCCUGCUGAAGUCAGGGAGCACCUGCCUGCCGCAGGAACGAAAACGAGGCCUGAGACACUGACCCGAAAAUGGAUUUGCCUCCCAUGGUGACCCAAACACACUUUUUCCAAGAGGAAAAACGGUGAAACCACUUUAAAAAAGAACCUCAAAUAGAUCUUCAAAAUAGGUCUCCCGAAGGAAAUACUUGAACGUCGAGUGUCAACCCCAAGGACAUUUUGAUGUUCCUAUAAACUCUCUAAAACAGGGUUUGUUGCCUGUCAAGGCUCUCCGCUCUGUUAUGGAAAAGCUGAGCCAGCUUUGCAGUAGCGGCGCAGACGAGCCUCCGCAGCGAAAACGCCUCUGCGACGGCGACGCUCCCCCGUGCCAUUUCCGAGAAGGCUUCAGCGCUCCCGAGCUCCCCAGCCAGGCUCCGCCGGGCGAUGGCCAAAGCGCCAGCGCUGUCGUUUCCGCGAGGGCUUUAUAGACUGUGACCGGCUUCUCCCCGGGGACGGACCAGGCUGCGGGUCACCCUGUUUCUGGGACGUGGGAAUCCCAUCGGGAAGAUGAACAUAACCAGGGAGGGCUGAGAAGGUGAUAGAUGCACGUAAACAGCAACGGGGGGAUUUUGUCUGCAAAACGCUGCCUGGCGGACCCUAGUGCAAACACUGCGCAGCGUUCGCUGUUGCUGCAAUUUCUUCUGCGUGCCUUAAAUGCCUGGUCUUAAAAAGUCAGGACGAGACUGCCCUCGGAGGCAGACUGAGCUCCACCAAAAUCUACUUCACUUUUUUAACACCUUUUUUUUUUUUUUUAAUUAUUUUUCACACUCGGAGUGAUACCUCCUGUAAAUCCCAGAAAGAGCCGAGAAAGGUCCAGGCAAUGCCACGUGCCGGGGUCCGGCGCCGGAGCGACGGGUUAUCCCGGAGGCUCCGCCGUCCCCUGCACCCGCGCAGCCCAGCUGGUUUUAAUUAAUCGCCUU